GGUGGCGUCGUAUAGUGGUUAUUACGUCACCUUGCUAUGGGGCUCCCUAGCAUCCAGGUGAUGCCUUCGGGCUCGUGAGUUCGAAUCUCACCGCCAUCA
Kwoniella sp. DSM 27419 is the source of this 99-nucleotide non-coding RNA. The record is from the annotation of a GenBank genome assembly. NCBI's taxonomy places the organism in Eukaryota, Fungi, Basidiomycota, Tremellomycetes, Tremellales, Cryptococcaceae.